Molecule: long non-coding RNA, 520 nt
Organism: Manacus vitellinus (golden-collared manakin)
Lineage: Eukaryota; Metazoa; Chordata; Aves; Passeriformes; Pipridae
Exons: 3
Source: RefSeq, a predicted model, not a curated record
GGGAGUCUGCAUGGUAACUAAGAAAUUGAAAAAAUUUCUGGCACUGGCAGAAGUUCAAAAAACAGCCUUGGGACCUGACAAGUGGUCCUUCCUGUCAGAGAAAUUUACUCCUAGACAGAGGAGCAAGCUGGUAUUCAGACACUGACAGCAGCAGAUACUCAUAUUGAGUUUGCCUGAUUGAAAGUGAUGUGGUUGAUGAUAGCUCAUCAGGAAGCAGGAGGGCACCCUCCCAGGGCCUCAUUGUCCAUGGUGUCCUGCUGUCCUCACUCCAUGUCUUUCCCUGAGCAUCUGUUAGAAGUGGCAGCCGUGAUGCACCUUAAGCCUCCUGCAAAAGAAAAUGUAUUGAUCUGAUCCUGGGAAAGUGACUGUAGUGCUCAACAGAACGGUUCCUGCCACAUAAUUUUGAUGUUCAUAAGGUUGUGUAAUAUUUCAUAUGAAAAGCCUCUGUCAACUUCUACUGACUGCUGAAUCUUAAAAUGAUUCAUCCACACAAAUGUAUUUUUCAGGAAAUCUUCUGAAG